This 606-nucleotide ribosomal RNA is filed under the name Pseudoxanthomonas sp. N-QB-2062. RNAcentral's name for it is "bacterial SSU rRNA". It matches the Rfam family "Bacterial small subunit ribosomal RNA", at positions 112 to 714 of the family's 1533-position model. The record is from RNAcentral. Lineage: Bacteria; Pseudomonadati; Pseudomonadota; Gammaproteobacteria; Lysobacterales; Lysobacteraceae.
AAUACAUCGGAAUCUACCUUUUCGUGGGGGAUAACGUAGGGAAACUUACGCUAAUACCGCAUACGACCUACGGGUGAAAGUGGGGGACCGCAAGGCCUCACGCGAUUAGAUGAGCCGAUGUCCGAUUAGCUAGUUGGCGGGGUAAUGGCCCACCAAGGCGACGAUCGGUAGCUGGUCUGAGAGGAUGAUCAGCCACACUGGAACUGAGACACGGUCCAGACUCCUACGGGAGGCAGCAGUGGGGAAUAUUGGACAAUGGGCGCAAGCCUGAUCCAGCCAUACCGCGUGGGUGAAGAAGGCCUUCGGGUUGUAAAGCCCUUUUGUUGGGAAAGAAAUCCUAUCGGUUAAUAACCGGUGGGGAUGACGGUACCCAAAGAAUAAGCACCGGCUAACUUCGUGCCAGCAGCCGCGGUAAUACGAAGGGUGCAAGCGUUACUCGGAAUUACUGGGCGUAAAGCGUGCGUAGGUGGUGGUUUAAGUCCGUUGUGAAAGCCCUGGGCUCAACCUGGGAAUUGCAGUGGAUACUGGAUCACUAGAGUGUGGUAGAGGGAUGCGGAAUUUCUGGUGUAGCAGUGAAAUGCGUAGAGAUCAGAAGGAACAUCCGUG